RNAcentral lists this transfer RNA (87 nucleotides) under Candidatus Levyibacteriota bacterium. Its description in RNAcentral is "tRNA-Ser". It matches the Rfam family "tRNA". From Rfam's summary of the family: Transfer RNA (tRNA) molecules are approximately 80 nucleotides in length. The record is from RNAcentral. Lineage: Bacteria; Candidatus Levyibacteriota.
GGAGAGGUGCUGGAGCGGUUGAACAGGUUGGUCUUGAAAACCAAUAAGGGCGCAAGCUCUUCGUGGGUUCGAAUCCCACCCUCUCCG